GUGCUUCUUUAAGAAGCACAUCCAGCUAUACUGGAAUGGUCCAUUAUUAUCAUGGCCCAUAUGCAAGGAUGACGUGCAAAUAUGUGAAGGUUUCUAUAUCAAA
This 103-nucleotide small nuclear RNA is filed under the name Microtus ochrogaster (prairie vole). The record is from RNAcentral. Lineage: Eukaryota; Metazoa; Chordata; Mammalia; Rodentia; Cricetidae.